This 469-nucleotide long non-coding RNA is filed under the name Brassica napus (rape). Its description in RNAcentral is "long non-coding RNA (BNAP_LNC001409)". Lineage: Eukaryota; Viridiplantae; Streptophyta; Magnoliopsida; Brassicales; Brassicaceae. The record is from RNAcentral.
UCUGAAAGAAUAUCUCAAUAUUUGAGACUGAUCUUUAUAAGAUCAUUUUCUUAUAUUUGUGAGAUACUUAGAUCUGAGUACCUUUGUAAUAAAGUUGCUGUAAGCAAACCAAAGCUAAUUAGGAAAAAACGGUGGGAAGACAUGAAUAUAUCACGCGUCGAAAACACACCUACCCGAAGGGUUUUAGUCUUUUAGAGAGAAAACAAAGAGAUGUGAGUUUGGUUUGGUUUUGUGUUUUUUUUGGGAGGGGGGUUGGUAGGGUUUGAGGUCCAUAUGCCUCGAUCUUCCUCUUCUUUCACUUUAACCUUUCUUACAAAACUGUCUAAUUAUUCCACUACGUCGGAUCGAAUCAUGCACUUAUAAAUAUUAUAUAUAUAGAUAUGUAUGUACAAGCACAGCUACGUAGAUGGAUUCAGUGCAAACACUUGUCAAAGGAGCAAUCCCGAUCUGGUUCCAUCUUAUCUUCGUU